Molecule: ribosomal RNA, 441 nt
Filed under: uncultured bacterium
Lineage: Bacteria
Description: partial 16S ribosomal RNA
Rfam family: Bacterial small subunit ribosomal RNA
Source: RNAcentral
CCUACGGGUGGCAGCAGUGGGGAAUAUUUGGCAAUGGACGCAAGUCUGACCCAGCAACGCCGCGUGAAGGAAGAAGGCUUUCGGGUUGUAAACUUCUUUUAAGGGGGAAGAGCAGAAGACGGUACCCCUUGAAUAAGCCACGGCUAACUACGUGCCAGCAGCCGCGGUAAUACGUAGGUGGCAAGCGUUGUCCGGAUUUACUGGGUGUAAAGGUCGUGCAGCCGGAGAGACAAGUCAGAUGUGAAAUCCACGGGCUCAACCCCGGCGAGCCGUUGAAACUGGCUGUCUUGAGAUGUCGAGAGGUAUGCGGAAUGCGCAGUGGAGCGGUGAAAUGCUGAGAUAUUGCGCAGAACUCCGAUUGCGAAGGCAGCAUACCGGCGGCGAUCUGACGCUGAGGCACGAAAGCGUGGGUAUCGAACAGGAUUAGAUACCCCUGUAGUC